AUAUUUGUGUAAUUAUCCCCUAAACAUUUUAAUAUAUCAAAUUGGUCCUCUUUGACUACCCAAUCAGGAUCCAAAACAUUGGAUCCCUUUCUUUCUGAAGUGGCCACGUGGCACCCCCCCUCCACUCUUCUCUUUUCUCUCUCUGUUCCCCCGUGACUCCCUUCUUCUUUUCUUCUUCUUUCUGUUUUCUAUUCUUUUUCUUCUGUCUCCCUCUCGGCUCUCUCUCUCAUAUCUCCCUCAUCUCUCUUUUCUGCACCGCAGCACGCACGCACCCAUCUUCCUGCGCGAGGAACAUCACCAUCACCCUUCUCCCUCCUUCCUCAUUCCCACAACUUUUAAUUAUUUUUCGCUGUCUCUCUCUCUCUCCUCCCUGCUCGUCACUCUCUUCAGAUCCCAGUCUCUCUGCAAAUCCCAAAUUCCCGGUCGCCCCUCUCUCUCUCUCUAAAAUCCAUUCCGUCAGGGAUCAAAAUCCCAUCUUUUUCAUUCACAUACAAAACCCACACACAUAUUUAUAGAUCUGAUGCUCCUCCUUCC
RNAcentral lists this long non-coding RNA (534 nucleotides) under Malus domestica (apple). Its description in RNAcentral is "long non-coding RNA (MDOM_LNC003775)". The record is from RNAcentral. Lineage: Eukaryota; Viridiplantae; Streptophyta; Magnoliopsida; Rosales; Rosaceae.